AUUCCAGCUCCAAUAGCGUAUAUUAAUGUUGUUGCAGUUAAAAAGCUCGUGGUUGGAUUUCUGGUCGGAACGCCGGUCCGGCUCCGCAAGGGGUCGUGUAUUGGUUUCUCCUGCCAUCCUCAGGGGGAGCUGCGCUGGUAUUCAUUUAUCGGCGUGGUUACGCCUGUCGUUUACUGUGAACAAAUUAGAGUGUUCAAAGCAAGGUGUACUUGAAUACAUUAGCAUGGAAUAAUAAGAUAGGACUUUGGUGGUUCUUUUUGAUAUUUUGUUGGUUUGCACGCCAAAGUAAUGAUUAAUAGGAGCAGUUGGGGGUAUUCGUAUUCAAUUGUCAGAGGUGAAAUUCUUGGAUUUAUAGAAGACGAACUACUGCGAAAGCAUUUACCAAGGAUGUUUUCAUUG
This 399-nucleotide ribosomal RNA is filed under the name Pedinellales sp. RNAcentral describes it as "partial small subunit ribosomal RNA". It matches the Rfam family "Eukaryotic small subunit ribosomal RNA", at positions 582 to 975 of the family's 1831-position model. Lineage: Eukaryota; Dictyochophyceae; Pedinellales. The record is from RNAcentral.